CGUACAGUCCGUACCAUCCAAGUCUCAACCUAAACUUACCUUGCACAAGUGAAACGGUAACUAUGGAAGAGUUACUCAAGUGGAGAAGGAUCAGACCGUUUAAGGGAUAAGGGACGCGCAUUGCCAGGCUGGGACAGGCUGGAAAGCUAAAGCAACUUUAGUCCAAGAUGCCAUAAGCGUGUGGUGCUUGCUAGUGGUUGAUUUGAAUCCUUUACCUUGACUUCACAUGCUUUCUCCUAACCUUUGCGAUUUGUAAACCCUAGUAGCUCUCCUAUAUAUUGUAACUCAUCAACACUAAUAAAGAUUACGCAGUUUGAGUCUCUCAAAUCUCUUAAGACACAAUGAUUCUCUCUUAGACACUAAACGGCUCUCUAGUCUCUUAAUCUUUC
Molecule: long non-coding RNA, 389 nt
Filed under: Brassica napus (rape)
Lineage: Eukaryota; Viridiplantae; Streptophyta; Magnoliopsida; Brassicales; Brassicaceae
Description: long non-coding RNA (BNAP_LNC003466)
Source: RNAcentral